Molecule: ribosomal RNA, 460 nt
Filed under: uncultured bacterium
Lineage: Bacteria
Description: partial 16S ribosomal RNA
Rfam family: Bacterial small subunit ribosomal RNA
Source: RNAcentral
CCUACGGGAGGCUGCAGUGAGGAAUAUUGGUCAAUGGACGAGAGUCUGAACCAGCCAAGUAGCGUGAAGGAUGACUGCCCUAUGGGUUGUAAACUUCUUUUAUAAAGGAAUAAAACGAGGCACGUGUGCCUUUUUGCAUGUACUUUAUGAAUAAGGAUCGGCUAACUCCGUGCCAGCAGCCGCGGUAAUACGGAGGAUCCGAGCGUUAUCCGGAUUUAUUGGGUUUAAAGGGAGCGUAGAUGGGUUGUUAAGUCAGUUGUGAAAGUUUGCGGCUCAACCGUAAAAUUGCAAUUGAUACUGGCAGUCUCGAGUACAGUUGAGGUAGGCGGAAUGCGUGGUGUAGCGGUGAAAUGCUUAGAUAUCACGAAGAACCCCGAUUGCGAAGGCAGCUUACUAAACUGUGACUGACAUUGAUGCACGAAAGUGUGGGUAUCAAACAGGAUUAGAUACCCGGGUAGUC